Molecule: ribosomal RNA, 793 nt
Filed under: uncultured bacterium
Lineage: Bacteria
Description: bacterial SSU rRNA
Rfam family: Bacterial small subunit ribosomal RNA
Source: RNAcentral
GCGUAAAGAGUUCGUAGGCGGUGAUUCAAGUCUAAUGUGAAAUAAUAGGGCUCAACCCUAUUCCCGCAUUAGUAACUGGAUUACUAGAGUAAGGUAGGGGUCAGAAGAAUUCCUGGUGUAGCGGUGAAAUGCGUAGAUAUCAGGAGGAACACCGGUGGCGAAGGCGUCUGACUGGGCCUUUACUGACGCUGAGGGACGAAAGCUAGGGGAGCGAAAGGGAUUAGAUACCCCUGUAGUCCUAGCUGUAAACGAUGGAUACUAGUUGCUGCAGGAAUCGACCCCCGCAGUGACGAAGCUAACGCAUUAAGUAUCCCGCCUGGGAAGUACGUUCGCAAGAAUGAAACUCAAAGGAAUUGACGGGGACCCGCACAAGCGGUGGAACAUGUGGUUCAAUUCGAUGCAACGCGAAGAACCUUACCUGGCCUUGACAUGCCUAGAACCCGGGAGAGAUCUCGGGGUGCCUUCGGGAGCUAGGACACAGGUGCUGCAUGGUUGUCGUCAGCUCGUGUCGUGAGAUGUUGGGUUAAGUCCCGCAACGAGCGCAACCCUUGUUGUCUGUUGCCACCCUAUAGCAAUAUAGGAGCACUCCGACAAGACUGCCCCGGUUAACGGGGAGGAAGGUGGGGACGACGUCAAAUCAUCAUGGCCCUUACGGCCAGGGCUACGCACGUGUUACAAUGGGCGCCACAAUGGGCAGCAACUGGGCAACCAGAAGCGAAUCCCUUAAAAGCGCUCUCAGUUCGGAUCGUAGGCUGCAACUUGCCUACGUGAAGUUGGAAUCGCUAGUAAAUGC